CCUACGGGAGGCAGCAGUGAGGAAUAUUGGUCAAUGGCCGGAAGGCUGAACCAGCCGAGUAGCGUGAAGGAUGACUGCCCUACGGGUUGUAAACUUCUGUUAUAAAGGAAUAAAGUGAGGCACGUGUGCCUUUUUGUAUGUACUUUAUGAAUAAGGAUCGGCUAACUCCGUGCCAGCAGCCGCGGUAAUACGGAGGAACCGAGCGUUAUCCGGAUUUAUUGGGUGUAAAGGGAGCGUAGAUGGGUUGUUAAGUCAGUUGUGAAAGUUUGCGGCUCAACCGUAAAAUUGCAAUGGAUACUGGCAGGCUGGAGUACAGUUGAGGUAGGCGGAAUUCGUGGUGUAGCGGUGAAAUGCUUAGAUAUCACGAAGAACUCCGAUUGCGAAGGCAGCUUACUAAACUGCAACUGACAUUGAUGCUCGAAAGUGUGGGUAUCAAACAGGAUUAGAUACCCCGGUAGUC
This 460-nucleotide ribosomal RNA is filed under the name uncultured bacterium. RNAcentral describes it as "partial 16S ribosomal RNA". It matches the Rfam family "Bacterial small subunit ribosomal RNA", at positions 338 to 795 of the family's 1533-position model. The record is from RNAcentral.